This 401-nucleotide ribosomal RNA is filed under the name Escherichia coli. RNAcentral describes it as "bacterial SSU rRNA". It matches the Rfam family "Bacterial small subunit ribosomal RNA", at positions 1 to 398 of the family's 1533-position model. The record is from RNAcentral. Lineage: Bacteria; Pseudomonadati; Pseudomonadota; Gammaproteobacteria; Enterobacterales; Enterobacteriaceae.
AAAUUGAAGAGUUUGAUCAUGGCUCAGAUUGAACGCUGGCGGCAGGCCUAACACAUGCAAGUCGAACGGUAACAGGAAGCAGCUUGCUGCUUUGCUGACGAGUGGCGGACGGGUGAGUAAUGUCUGGGAAACUGCCUGAUGGAGGGGGAUAACUACUGGAAACGGUAGCUAAUACCGCAUAACGUCGCAAGACCAAAGAGGGGGACCUUAGGGCCUCUUGCCAUCGGAUGUGCCCAGAUGGGAUUAGCUAGUAGGUGGGGUAAAGGCUCACCUAGGCGACGAUCCCUAGCUGGUCUGAGAGGAUGACCAGCCACACUGGAACUGAGACACGGUCCAGACUCCUACGGGAGGCAGCAGUGGGGAAUAUUGCACAAUGGGCGCAAGCCUGAUGCAGCCAUGCC